UACGUAGGUGGCAAGCGUUGUCCGGAUUUACUGGGCGUAAAGAGCGCGCAGGCGGUCGUUCAAGUCGCGUGUGAAAGCCCCCGGCUCAACUGGGGAGGGUCACGCGAUACUGAUCGACUCGAAGGCAGGAGAGGGAAGUGGAAUUCCCGGUGUAGUGGUGAAAUGCGUAGAUAUCGGGAGGAACACCAGUGGCGAAGGCGGCUCUCUGGAACGCAACUGACGCUGAGACGCGAAAGCGUGGGGAGCAAACAGG
Molecule: ribosomal RNA, 253 nt
Filed under: uncultured bacterium
Lineage: Bacteria
Description: partial 16S ribosomal RNA
Rfam family: Bacterial small subunit ribosomal RNA
Source: RNAcentral